GCUGAAGGUGUCAGAGGGUUGCAAGACGUAGGUGACUAGGCCGGGGGUGAGGCCGGGGACGGCUGGGGCAGUGGCGUUGCGGUGGACGGAGGGGCACUGGCAGAAUACGGGGAAGGUGGCCAUGACGCCGAUGGGGAGGUCGGUGGGGAUGAGAGUAGGGUUUGCGGCGAUGACGGCAGGGUAGGCGGUGAGAUUGGCGAGCUUUACGGUGGAGACGGCAUAGAAGGUGUCGCCGGAGGUGAACUGGUAGGCAACGGCGGCGUAGGAGUGGUUGGAGACGGCGCCGCAGGCGCAGUCGAGGGGGAUGAGGAGGGGCUGGCCGGGGCGGAGGGAGGCGGUGGCGGAGAGGUUGCUGGCGCGGGCGAUGGAGAGGCGGCUGACGCCGAAGAGGUCGCCGAUGGAGGAGAGGUCAAGGAGGGAGGGGUCGGCGCCAGCACGGUAGAAGGCGUACGACUGGCAGGGGUAGAUGGAGCGGUCGGCGGAGCAGUUGUA
Molecule: unclassified non-coding RNA, 492 nt
Filed under: Hevea brasiliensis (rubber tree)
Lineage: Eukaryota; Viridiplantae; Streptophyta; Magnoliopsida; Malpighiales; Euphorbiaceae
Source: RNAcentral